UUCCGGUUGAUCCUGCCGGACCUUACUGCUAUCGGGGUGGGACUAAGACAUGCGAGUCAUGCGUCUCUAGCUAUGUUGAGACGCGGCAGACGGCUCAGUAACGCGUGGCUAACCUACCCUCAGGACGAAGAUAACCCCGGGAAACUGGGGAUAAUAUUCGAUAGGUGAGGAUGUCUGGAAUGACUUCUCUCCUAAAGGACUUAGAUACAUGCUUCUAUUUCGCCUGGGGAUGGGGCCGCGCCCGAUCAGGUUGUUGGUGAGGUAACGGCUCACCAAGCCUAUAACCGGUACGGGCCGUGAGAGCGGUAGCCCGGAGAUGGGUACUGAGACAAGGACCCAGGCCCUACGGGGCGCAGCAGUCGCGAAAACUCCGCAAUGCACGAAAGUGUGACGGGGCUACCCCGAGUGCCAUCCGCUGAGGAUGGCUUUUCUUUGGUAUAACUAGCCAUGGGAAUAAGGAGAGGGCAAGACUGGUGUCAGCCGCCGCGGUAAUACCAGC
This 499-nucleotide ribosomal RNA is filed under the name uncultured archaeon. RNAcentral's name for it is "bacterial SSU rRNA". It matches the Rfam family "Archaeal small subunit ribosomal RNA", at positions 1 to 480 of the family's 1478-position model. The record is from RNAcentral.